UACGAAGGGGGCUAGCGUUGUUCGGAAUUACUGGGCUUGAAGCGCACGUAGGCGGCGUUGUAAGUGUCGGGUGAAAUCCCACGGCUCACCCGUGGAACUGCCCGGCAUACUGCGAUGCUAGAGUGUGGUAGGGGAGAGCGGAACUCCUGGUGGAGCGGUGAAAUGCGUAGAUAUCAGGAGGAACACCGGUGGCGAAGGCGGCUCUCUGGUCCACAACUGACGCUGAGGUGCGAAAGCUAGGGGAGCAAACAGG
This 253-nucleotide ribosomal RNA is filed under the name uncultured bacterium. RNAcentral describes it as "partial 16S ribosomal RNA". It matches the Rfam family "Bacterial small subunit ribosomal RNA", at positions 524 to 776 of the family's 1533-position model. The record is from RNAcentral.